Molecule: long non-coding RNA, 1200 nt
Organism: Phacochoerus africanus (Common warthog)
Lineage: Eukaryota; Metazoa; Chordata; Mammalia; Artiodactyla; Suidae
Exons: 4
Source: RefSeq, a predicted model, not a curated record
AGACCAAAAAAAAAAAAAAAAAAAAGAUGCAGCCGGUGUCAUUGCUGAGAUACGGGUUUAGCUGUAGGCCCAGGAACUUCAGCAUGAUCUGGGGGGCGGGGAAAGCAGCUGUAACUGCUGGAAGUUCUGAAGUUUCCGGAUUCAACCGCGCCCGCAACCGCGCCCGCCAACUUCGUGCCACGCCAUAGAGCAUCCGCGUGCCCAUCCGCGCUCUGAUUUCACCUAAACCCUUCUCAACACUCGGCUUUCCGUAGGAGUGAGCUGCGGGGCUCCAAUGCUGCAGUUGGCCUGUCUCUCUCUAAACGACCUCAGACACUUUCAAAAGAUCCAAAUCAGAGAAGGAGAGCCUUCCAGAAGGAAGAGGAGUAGCCGGGAAUCUCACAUGGGCGGACCCGAACUGCCUCAGCGCGCCGCAGUCUACUCCAGGCCAUGGUGCCGACUCCACCCGCUCGAAGGUCCGAGCCGGGUCUCUCGGUGGCCCCGCUCCACCCCGCCUCGCCCCCGCCGCGCACGCGCACUUCCCUGCAGACCCGGAAGCGAUUCGGGUGGGAAGACCGGUGCCCUCGGGAGAGGUUGGUUCUUAGCUGCCUGAGCUCUGCGAGCUUCAGGUCCCACGUCUCCACGCUCGGGUGCUGGAGGUCUCCCGGGACUGUUUACCUUCGAGGAUGUGGGCCUGCCUGGACCCUGCUCAGAGGGCCUUGUACAGGGACGUGAUGCUGGAGACCUACGGGAACCUGCUCUCCGUGGGGAGCAUCGCUUCCCUCCGGAAGUGGGCAGCAUGAGGCCCUUCGUGUGGUCGCAGGUGGCAAGACGUCCUUCUCUGUGAUGGCGGAAGACCAGCACGUGGUCCACAAUCCAGCGCGGCUUUAGCCACUUAGAGACAGUUUUAGUUCCUUUGUGUAAAUACCACGUGGUGUGACUGCUAGAUCGCAUUGGCUCGUUUUGCUGAAACAGCAGCCCCUUCGUGAGUGCCUGCCGGUCUGGCCGCAACACCCACGGUGAGUGAAGGUCGCUGUCGUCCCCGCAUCAUUUCUGACCCGGGGUGUUCUCAGGGUUCCGGGGUUGGGCCGUGAGAGCGGGGCUUUAGUUGCCUAACACUCAUUUUAACACAGUUUCCUCAAAGCUCUGGCAGUUUUUAAAGAGAAUUUUUGUUGUUUUCAGAACAUACUUUUUCGUAGUGUUACUGUCUCAGUCACAGAA